AGCAGCCGCGGUAAUUCCAGCUCCAAUAGCGUAUAUUAAAGUUGUUGCAGUUAAAAAGCUCGUAGUUGAAUUUCGGGGUCAGUAGGUUGGUCAUGCCUCCGGUAUGUACUGGUCUCACUGAUUCCUCCUUCCUGAUGAGCCGUAAUGCCAUUAAUUUGGUGUUGCGGGGAAUCUGGACUGUUACUUUGAAAAAUUAGAGUGUUUAAAGCAAGCUAACGCUUGAAUACAUUAGCAUGGAAUAAUGGAAUAGGACGUUCGAUCCUAUUUUGUUGGUUUCUAGGAUUGACGUAAUGAUUAAUAGGGAUAGUUGGGGGCAUUAGUAUUCAAUUGUCAGAGGUGAAAUUCUUGGAUUUAUUGAAGACUAACUACUGCGAAAGCAUUUGCCAAGGAUGUUUUCAUUAAUCAAGAACGAAAGUUAGGGGAUCGAAGACGAU
This 434-nucleotide ribosomal RNA is filed under the name uncultured Glomeromycotina. RNAcentral describes it as "SSU rRNA". It matches the Rfam family "Eukaryotic small subunit ribosomal RNA", at positions 569 to 1008 of the family's 1831-position model. The record is from RNAcentral. Lineage: Eukaryota; Fungi; Glomeromycota.